This is a long non-coding RNA of Paramisgurnus dabryanus, 2772 nucleotides long. RefSeq lists it as uncharacterized. NCBI's taxonomy places the organism in Eukaryota, Metazoa, Chordata, Actinopteri, Cypriniformes, Cobitidae. The record is from RefSeq and is a predicted model, not a curated record.
CUGAAUUUUGUCUUUGCAAUGACCUCUGAUAUUUGAUUACGAGCUGCCCGCAAGCAUGACGGAUCCAGCGACAGUGUGGACGGUGUUACUUUUCACACUCCGCUGUCAGCAUAACAAUAAGCACCUCUGUGGUCAAAUUUCUGCUGUCAUGCUCCCUUAGCGCUGGCCAUUUAAUCUGGCUAAUAACCAGAAUUUAGUGAAUAUGCAUGCGCUAGAUUAGAUGGAAACCGGGACUGGCCAUGCCUAGCGUUUAACUCUUGAAGGCACAUCUUCAGCAUCAACCAAUGCCUUUAAAGAGCAUUCAGAUUUACAAUGUAGGAAAUGGGUGAUAGUGAGAUUUUAUGGUAAAGAUUGUCACAUGCUUUUAGGGGGCAAGUGAAAAUAAAUUAAUAUACAGUUUUUUUGCGUAAUAAUACAGUACAUGCAUUCCCAAAGAAUCAAACCCAUAUACUGAACAUGUAACUUUACCGCAUAAAGGACCAAAGUACUUGGACGAAGUCAUUAGAUCAGAUAAUGCUUAAAUAAUAAGGUAUAGAGGAAGCUAUAACAAUUACAUUAAAGAACAGAAGCAGAUUAUAGCAUAUUUGCUCUGCUAAAUCACCCCUCAUAGCCAAACAGACGCCUCAUCCCGAACAUUCCCCAGGAGACCUUGACAGCUGCAUGCUCUUAACAGAAUACACGUUUAAGGUGAUGUUUGCAGGCAGAUGGAGCCUUGUGGUUUGGAUGUGAUGGAUUGUGCAAAAGAGGGUUUGUUGCGAUCCAUCACUCAUGUAAGCGGUGGAGGGCCUCAUUAGAAUGAGGGGUAUUAAAGGAACACCUGCAGCCUGAUGGCCCUCGGAUAGAGCAGCUUAUGUUUGAAUAGACCCACUCUCACGCACGCAACAGCUAACACGCACUACUGCAAUCAUCUCUGACAAUACAGACUAUAACCUCUGUUGAAGGGAAGCACAGAGCUAGUUUUAUCCUACUCGUAGCAACGCUUGAAAAAUGUAUGACAUGGUUAUUAUCUCUCAGUAUUGUUUUUCUUAAUAUUGUACAUUGGAAAAGAAGUCAUUAGCGUUCAGAGACACUAAUUAUACAACACGAGAGCUGAGGUCUGAGAAGUCAAGGUUGAGGGAAUUGGGGAUCUUUGAGGCUCUGCAAACAUACAGUCGAAAAUAGAUCAGUGAUGGGUAUUAUAAAGCGUUCAUCAGAGUGAUUAAUAUCACUGUGAGCCACUACACUGUGUCUGUCCCUAUCUGUUCUGUCAUUGGCAUUUCCUAAUGGCUUUAUUUCUUUGCGCUGCCAAAGUUGAUAAUUUACGCACAUUUAAUCAAUUCAUGGGAUUUAAAAUGUAUGCUUAAAAAUUUUAAUCAUAUGAAUCAAUGAAUACAUUUUCUCAAAGUAUGGCAAUGCAAGGUCAAAUAAGGCAAAAACAGGUCAGCAUUUGCAAGUACACAGCAAAAUCACCAGUGUUAAAUUUUCAGGGAUGGUGUUAAAUACCAAGUGUUGAUGCUGUUUUAACACUAUCUGGUAAUAAAAUAACACUGCCAUUGCUAGGCCAGUGUUAUAUUCACGACAGUGUCAGUGUUAAACAAGGGUGUUAUCAGAUUUCACUCUGAGUGGUGUAAAUCAAGCCACGCCUCCACUAAACAUAUCCUCUCAGGGAUUUUACCGCCAUUUUGUUUCACAGGAGGACUGAAGAGAUCAGAUGCUAGUUUGGUGAAAGUACACACUGAGUGCUUCAAAUCAUUCAGAAGAGAUGCUGUUUUUAGGGCAGUUUAUUAAAGAAGACCUGACAUGGAUGACUUCCAAUGAGAAACGACUGCUAAUACUUAUAUAAAUUCAUUACAGAAGGACCCUACCAGACUAUAUUUGAAUACGGCAUACCCAUGAAUUCUGGAACUGUUAUUCCUUAACCCAGUUUGGAGGAUAAGAGCUUACCAACUAGUUAUAAAUAUGCUGAGGUGAUGUAUUGCAAAAUAGCCAACAUACAACAAUAUGGAUGACCCUCUGUCUGGUCAACAGGAGUUUAAAUAUGGACGGGACAGUUAUGUGGCAGCUCUUCCCUGGCUCACUCACCUCUUGCCUUUCAUUUGUGAAAGGAAGAAAGAAGAAAGAGGGUCAAUGUGCAACUGAAGCUACUGAUUGUGCUGUGUGAUGAGCAUCAAUCCAUGCUUUGAGGGGAAUGAAUCAGCACAGCCCUGCCUGCACUGCGUUGGGAACAGAAGUUGCAUCCAGAAUUUUUGCAUCAUUCUGGACCAAAAAGCCAUUCCCUCCAUGAUGAAGACCACUGAUGCAGCCUUCCGCUACAUCAUGAGUAAAACAACUACAGAACUAAAUACCAGGUUGGAACGUAUUUAAGAAAAAUGAAACGUCUUUUGAAUUGAAAUGUCUGUUUUGUUAUGGAAAAAUCUUUAGUAUUGUGAAGGAUAAGCAUUUCUGCCUGCCAGUAAGGUAAUUGCAGUGUAUUUUAAUGUUCAAGUUUUGAGUAGGGUGGCUAAUUUUUUUUAAACUCUCAUUUGAUAUAUUAAAGACCUUAUAAUAAGUGGUUUUCAUGUCACUGCGCUGUGGUAUAAGAUAACUUUCAUUAUUCCAUACUGUAUUCUGUAUUCUAAUUGUAGCUGAGCUAUUUAAAUAAGCAGUGUUAAAUGCAAAGUGUUGUGUGUAUCAAUGUAAAUAUUAAAUGUGAUGUACUUUAAUAAAAAGAGGUUUUGCAAUAUUUCUUGUCAUUUGUCUUUUAUAGAAACAACCCAUUAGCAACAAAAGUGGCUAUUAAUCAGUAUUUUAACA